GGGUCGUUAGCUCAGUUGGUAGAGCAGUUGAUUUUUAAUCAAUUGGUCGCAGGUUCGAAUCCUGCACGACCCACCA
RNAcentral lists this transfer RNA (76 nucleotides) under Citrobacter freundii. RNAcentral's name for it is "tRNA-Lys". It matches the Rfam family "tRNA". Rfam says of the family: Transfer RNA (tRNA) molecules are approximately 80 nucleotides in length. Their secondary structure includes four short double-helical elements and three loops (D, anti-codon, and T loops). RNAcentral also lists the same sequence under 17 other names. The record is from RNAcentral. Lineage: Bacteria; Pseudomonadati; Pseudomonadota; Gammaproteobacteria; Enterobacterales; Enterobacteriaceae.